Molecule: long non-coding RNA, 480 nt
Organism: Microtus oregoni (creeping vole)
Lineage: Eukaryota; Metazoa; Chordata; Mammalia; Rodentia; Cricetidae
Exons: 3
Source: RefSeq, a predicted model, not a curated record
CACUGCUGCUGCUCUACAACACGAUUGGACUUUUCCUCCACCGCAAAUCCUCUCAGAUUUCUCCAUGUGAAACAAACAGAAGCAGAAGAAAUCUGUACAUUUAUUAUAUAAAACUGAACCCCUGGUGCCUGGCACAGCACCUAAGAAGAAUUAAGCCUUCAAACAGGUAUUAAAUAAAUGGAAGAAAUCAUGGCUCUGUCGCUGUCCAGUAGAGAGCAUCUAAGAUAUCUUGUCCAAACGAGGAGAACAGACGGUCAGCUACCUGCAGAGAGAAAUUGUGGAAGUUUCUUAACUGCUCAUUUAAGUACUUUGCCAGCAACCAGAUGAAAAUCCAUCAUUAGAAACCUGAGUUUUACAAUUCUGGAUGGAAAGCUGAAGAAGAGCAAAGCUUAUCACUUCCUCUACACACUCCUGGCUCAGCUGAGUACUCAAUACACGGGGGACUCAGAAUUGGCCUUGUCAAAUUAGCCAUUUGUAAAA